UAAAAAAAGGUAAGCUACUAAGAGCGAAUGGUGGAUGCCUUGACUGGUAAAGGCGAUGAAGGACGUACUAGACUGCGAUAAGCUACGGGGAGCUGUCAAGAAGCUUUGAUCCGUAGAUUUCCGAAUGGGGCAACCCAAUGUAUAGAGAUAUACAUUACCUAUAUAGGAGCGAACGAGGGGAAUUGAAACAUCUUAGUACCCUCAGGAAAAGAAAUCAAUAGAGAUUGCGUCAGUAGCGGCGAGCGAAAGCGCAAGAGGGCAAACCCAGUGCUUGCACUGGGGGUUGUAGGACUGCAAUGUGCAAGAGCUGAGUUUAGCAGAACAUUCUGGAAAGUAUAGCCAUAGAGGGUGAUAGUCCCGUAUGCGAAAAACAAAGCUUAGCUAGCAGUAUCCUGAGUAGGGCGGGACACGAGGAAUCCUGUCUGAAUCCGGGUCGACCACGAUCCAACCCUAAAUACUAAUACCAGAUCGAUAGUGCACAAGUACCGUGAGGGAAAGGUGAAAAGAACUGAGGUGAUCAGAGUGAAAUAGAACCUGAAACCAUUUGCUUACAAUCAUUCAGAGCACUAUGUAGCAAUACAGUGUGAUGGACUGCCUUUUGCAUAAUGAGCCUGCGAGUUGUGGUGUCUGGCAAGGUUAAGCAAACGCGAAGCCGUAGCGAAAGCGAGUCUGAAUAGGGCGCUUAGUCAGAUGCUGCAGACCCGAAACGAAGUGAUCUAUCCAUGAGCAAGUUGAAGCUAGUGUAAGAACUAGUGGAGGACUGAACCCAUAGGCGUUGAAAAGCCCCGGGAUGACUUGUGGAUAGGGGUGAAAGGCCAAUCAAACUUCGUGAUAGCUGGUUCUCUCCGAAAUAUAUUUAGGUAUAGCGUUGUGUCGUAAUAUAAGGGGGUAGAGCACUGAAUGGGCUAGGGCAUACACCAAUGUACCAAACCCUAUCAAACUCCGAAUACCUUAUAUGUAAUCACAGCAGUCAGGCGGCGAGUGAUAAAAUCCGUCGUCAAGAGGGAAACAACCCAGACUACCAGCUAAGGUCCCUAAAUCUUACUUAAGUGGAAAACGAUGUGAAGUUACUUAAACAACCAGGAGGUUGGCUUAGAAGCAGCCAUCCUUUAAAGAAAGCGUAAUAGCUCACUGGUCUAGUGAUUUUGCGCGGAAAAUAUAACGGGGCUAAAGUAAGUACCGAAGCUGUAGACUUGCACACAACUUAGAUUAUUUAAGUUUAGAAUAUGAGAAACUAAGUUAUAUGUUUAGUUAUAUUUUUACUGAUUUUUAUAGAGUAAAGAUAGAAAUAAAACUUAAUAAAAUCAGUAAAAAUAUUCUUAGGCUAAAGUUAAGUAGUUUAAGUUGUGUGCAAGUGGUAGGAGAGCGUUCUAUUUGCGUCGAAGGUAUACCGGUAAGGAGUGCUGGAGCGAAUAGAAGUGAGCAUGCAGGCAUGAGUAGCGAUAAUUAAUGUGAGAAUCAUUAACGCCGUAAACCCAAGGUUUCCUACGCGAUGCUCGUCAUCGUAGGGUUAGUCGGGUCCUAAGUCGAGUCCGAAAGGGGUAGACGAUGGCAAAUUGGUUAAUAUUCCAAUACCAACAUUAGUGUGCGAUGGAAGGACGCUUAGGGCUAAGGGGGCUAGCGGAUGGAAGUGCUAGUCUAAGGUUGUAGGAGGUUAUACAGGCAAAUCCGUAUAACAAUACUCCGAGAACUGAAAGGCUUUUUGAAGUCUUCGGAUGGAUAGAAGAACCCCUGAUGCCGUCGAGCCAAGAAAAGUUUCUAAGUUUAGCUAAUGUUGCCCGUACCGUAAACCGACACAGGUGGGUGGGAUGAGUAUUCUAAGGCGCGUGGAAGAACUCUCUUUAAGGAACUCUGCAAAAUAGCACCGUAUCUUCGGUAUAAGGUGUGGUUAGCUUCGUACUAGGAUUUACUCCGAAAGCGAAGAAACUUACAACAAAGAGUCCCUCCCGACUGUUUACCAAAAACACAGCACUCUGCUAACUCGUAAGAGGAUGUAUAGGGUGUGACGCCUGCCCGGUGCUCGAAGGUUAAUUGAUGGGGUUAGCAUUAGCGAAGCUCUUGAUCGAAGCCCGAGUAAACGGCGGCCGUAACUAUAACGGUCCUAAGGUAGCGAAAUUCCUUGUCGGUUAAAUACCGACCUGCAUGAAUGGCGUAACGAGAUGGGAGCUGUCUCAAAGAGGGAUCCAGUGAAAUUGUAGUGGAGGUGAAAAUUCCUCCUACCCGCGGCAAGACGGAAAGACCCCGUGGACCUUUACUACAGCUUGACACUGCUACUUGGAUAAGAAUGUGCAGGAUAGGUGGGAGGCUUUGAGUAUAUGACGCCAGUUGUAUAUGAGCCAUUGUUGAGAUACCACUCUUUCUUAUUUGGGUAGCUAACCAGCUUGAGUUAUCCUCAAGUGGGACAAUGUCUGGUGGGUAGUUUGACUGGGGCGGUCGCCUCCCAAAUAAUAACGGAGGCUUACAAAGGUUGGCUCAGAACGGUUGGAAAUCGUUCGUAGAGUAUAAAGGUAUAAGCCAGCUUAACUGCAAGACAUACAAGUCAAGCAGAGACGAAAGUCGGUCUUAGUGAUC
Molecule: ribosomal RNA, 2571 nt
Filed under: Campylobacter jejuni
Lineage: Bacteria; Pseudomonadati; Campylobacterota; Epsilonproteobacteria; Campylobacterales; Campylobacteraceae
Description: partial 23S ribosomal RNA
Rfam family: Bacterial large subunit ribosomal RNA
Source: RNAcentral